UAAUUUUUAGGAAUAAUUGCCUAUGAACCCUUCAAAAUUUCGAAAAUAUCUUAUUUAUUUUUACUUUUUUUCUUUCCAAUAUAUAUCCCUUAUAUGUUUCGCCGUUAUUUCAAAACACCCCUGUAAUUACCACCCGUUAAGUUAACUUGAAUUAAACGUGAGCUAAACAUUUAUCAGAGUUUAAAAAAUAUCAAAAUGUCUAUUUUGCUUUUAACUUAAGGGCAAAUAAGAAAUAUUGGUGUUGGUAGAAGGACAUAUUUAAAAAGACUAAAAAUCAAAACAUUUUUUGUGCUCCUACGAAUAAGAAAAAUAGGUGAUGGUAAAAAGUAUAUUUGAAAGGGUAAAAUAGUAAUUUUAUAGAGAUAAUAGUUAUCGCUAACCGUUCAUUAAAAUAAUUUAACUCUAGUUAAAAUAAGUGGGAACGUAAAAAGAGUAUUUCCAAUAUAGCAUUCUAAAAAGGGUAAAUCAGAAAGUCGAAAACUUUUCAGGUUGGAAUGUAAAAAAGAGUAUUUUCAAUAUUAGCCUUCUAAAAAGAGUAAAUCAGAAAGUCGAAAACUGGAAUAUAUAAGCAAUUGUCUCUAUUUUUUUUUUUGAGAGAAAAAUAGCAUGCUACCGGUUUUGUUUAUUUUAUUUAGAAAUAAACUUAGCUGAAAAUGUAAAUCAACUAGGAUUCGAACUUGGGUCUCGAAUACCAACCACCAAACUCUUUUGCUACUUGUGCUAGGGACGGUCGGUAAUUACCCCUAAUAUUUAAAGAGUAAUGCUUCUAUACUUUUUUUUAUUUGGUUACCGUUCAUUCACGCGUAUUCAACGACUCAGAUUUAGUUUUUUAAAAAUUGUAACCUGCAAUAGCAGGUUACUUUGGAAGAGGUACCGGUUACUAGGUACCUCAAAAAAGAAUAUUUUUGUCUUUUAAUACAUGGGCAAUUUAGUCAUUUUACAUCUACUAUAUUUUCAAAAUUUUUAUUUUUUCUUUGUUUCCUUUUUCUCUCUUUAUCUUUCCUUUCAUAAUUUGGCAUUUCGAAAAAUUUCAAAUGAUUUGACAAUAUAUCAUUAAAUUUAAACUUUAAAUAGUAAUAUGAAAUUCCUCUAAUUUAAAUUUCAUAUAAAUACUUUGAAAUAUGGUAAACAGAAAUAAUUGUUUGAAUUCUAGUCUUUUGGUUUAGGUUUGGUUUUGGGUUUCGAAAAAUUGGUCAGUUUUGAAUUUGGAUAUGGAUUUUUGAAAUACGUCGAGCUCGAAAAUAAGUUUUGUGAUUGUUAGUCAGAUUCGAAUUCAAGUUCCUAACUAUUUUUUUUUCUCACCAAUAAUUCUAAUCUUAUUAAUUUAUAUGUUUAAAAUUAUAUUUAAAAUAUUUAUUAGCUCUAACAGUUAAAUUAUCAUUUUGAUUAAAAUAUUUAUUAUCUUUACCGGUUCCAAAUUGUUCUUAAUGUUAUUCGGUUCAAUAGGUAAAAUCAGAUUCUUGAUAGAAUAGGUCAAAAUCUGAUCAGCCAAAUCAAUCGGUUCAAUCUAGUUUUUAAAUCAUUGAAUUUAAAAUUUAAAUAGUAAUAUGAAUUUCCUCUAGAGAAAUCUAGUUGUAGAAAUCUUUACUCUCUAAGUUUUUUAUGCAUUACGUUUUAAACUGGUGCGAAUAAACUGUAUUUUAAAUCUU
RNAcentral lists this long non-coding RNA (1649 nucleotides) under Ananas comosus (pineapple). Its description in RNAcentral is "long non-coding RNA (ACOM_LNC011791)". The record is from RNAcentral. Lineage: Eukaryota; Viridiplantae; Streptophyta; Magnoliopsida; Poales; Bromeliaceae.